GCACGAACUUAGCCCGUGCUUCCUCUGCAGGCUAUGUCAAACUAGAGAGAUAGCUCUCUAGCAUUUCAUCCCCUCUGACAGUGGUUUACAACCCAAGGGCCUUCAUCCCACACGCGGCGUCGCUCGGUCAGGGUUUCCCCCAUUGCCGAAGAUUCUCGA
This 159-nucleotide ribosomal RNA is filed under the name uncultured bacterium. RNAcentral's name for it is "partial 16S ribosomal RNA". The record is from RNAcentral.